This 2966-nucleotide long non-coding RNA is filed under the name Solanum tuberosum (potato). RNAcentral's name for it is "long non-coding RNA (STUB_LNC010643)". Lineage: Eukaryota; Viridiplantae; Streptophyta; Magnoliopsida; Solanales; Solanaceae. The record is from RNAcentral.
GGAUAGAUAACUAUGAACAAGAGUCAGCUUUUUGUAUCUAUUCCAGUCAAAUUUUAAAAUUUAUCACAAAUUUAGUCAUUACAAGAAGUGGAUUAUAACAUUGUAAGUCAUACUAUUCUCACUUCGGAGAAAUGCUUAAGCAUUACAUUAUUGGCUAUAUUUUCAACAGAAACUUUAUUAGUAACAGAUAAGUAUUUCUGAUUUCGCGUUGUUUCCCUCUUCCUGCUCGAAAUUCAAUAAAUCAUAUUUUCCACGCCACUUGUCAAUAAAGUCGAUUCUUCUUUGGUGUAACUGAAUAACUUUUGAUUAGUUAUUUUCUGUUAAUGUUUAUCAUGGCUGAAAUAGGAAAAAAAAACUUAUCUUCUUAAGCAUUCAUGUGUUUUAGUAACUAAGUUGGUAACAUUGUAGUAUCUAAAGAUGAUAUCAGUUUCAACUUUGGAUAUAUCUUGUUGCCUCUUUAACAACAAAGACCCAUUGUAUCUACAUUAAAGAAAAAUUUAUUUCAUCAUGAAAGUUUCUCUGUGACAGCCUUUUAUAUUAGUCAACGUAGCUAAUGGAGAACAUUACAAAUAAAGAAGUCGUUGUAAAUAUAGCAAACUUGAUGUCAUUUAAUGAUGUCUUAAUCUGUUAUUGCAAUGAUUAUUAUUUUGCUCUGUAAAACAGUUAUGCUACAAUACUUAGUUAUUUACAAUUUGACAUUUUGUUAAUUCGUUUAUUAAUGGCUGAAAUGAUUACCGACUCUCUUUCAGCUGCCAACUAUGUGGCUAUCUCCAAGCUUUGCAGACAUCACCAUCAGUUGUUGCUGCUGGAUUGGUUAUUGAUUAUCUUAUUAUAUCGCCAGCAACACAACUGUGAGAUUAAUUGAUACGUGGUUAUGCAAGGCUGCCAUGACUCCAACUCCGCCAUUUGGACUCAUAAGGACGAUUCAAGGUAAGUAAUCUAAUCCAUUAGUUAUGGUAUGUUACAUGCUAUUUCUAACACAUUAAACCUAUUUCUACAAAUAUCAGCUCUCUCAUCUCUUUCCCUCUUUUAGUUCUCCAUACACACACUCUCUAUUUCAAUGAGUAUUGUUGCAGCUGUACGAAAAGUAAAGAUCAAAUUUAGUAGUUAGAAAUAAUGAAUCUUUCCCUCCCUGUAUGUGUAAACUCUCCAUUUCACCUUUAUUUUCUGGAUUUCUCCUUCUUAUAUCAAUAACAAUAAUUUUCCGGUUUUCUCAGUGUUUGCUGUUUAGAAAAUUAUUGCGGAAACUAUAUUUUUUGUUCUCAGAUAAAGCGGUAAAAGUUAUUGGAAAGAUUAGUCAACGCUUGGCCUAAAUAAAGUUACUAAUUCUACCGUUCUACUACAAGGACAUGUUAGUUGUCAUGAUUAUUGGUAAGUACUAUUUGGACACAAUUUUUUCUCAAAUCUCACACACUAAGGAGCACAUGCCUUUCAAUUAAACACAUCCUUUCAAUAACCUUUACUUUUAACAAAAGUCUGUAGUGAAAUUAACUACAAAUUGCCCUCAUCCUGGAAUAACCAUAUUCAAACUUAAUCAUCAUAUAGCUGUUGUUGAGGAUAAUUGUAAAAUUCUCUUUUACUCCUUUUUCCAUAAGGUAACUCAUAGUUGAUUAAGUGCCCGUUAAAAUUCUCUUUUAUUCCUUUAUCUAUAAGGUAACUCAUACUUGAUUAAGUGCCCAUUUAGAUUGACUUGUUUUAGGUGUUUUAAAGCAAAAUGCUUAUAAGAACUUAUUUCUAAGUCAAAAUAACAAAAUUAAGCCAAAGUCAAUCCAAACAGGCUUUAUAUCUUCUUUGUUUUACCCCUCCAUAGUUCCCUAAUCCUUUUUGCUUUUCAUUAUAGGAUAAAUACUAGAGCUACCAUUCUUUAAACUCACCGGUUUAAAGAAAAAAGUAGUUUAAUUUGAGAAGAAAUGAAACUACGUAGCACAAGAAAAAUGGAAAAGUUGUAUGUCUGCUCAUUACAAUGAUCUCCGAGAUAAUGAUACUUUAUGCCCAAUCAGUUCUUGGAUGAUCUGCAGAAUAUCCUUAUAUGUGAGGGAAAGAACACGCAAAAAAUUAUCUUACACAAAUUAGUUUCCCAAUAAGUAUUGAGUUAAGCAUUUGACAGAUUUUACUAAAUGAAUUUUAGAAACUAAUACUCUUCUUAGAAUAAGUCUAUCUAACCAAAGACAACAUAGUUGUCAACAAGUAGAAGCGUGGUUGUGGAAAUUUGAAGGGGAGAAGAAAAACUUCUUAGAACAAUAUAAAAGUGCUCUUCUAGGCUACAACAAUUAUAUUUAUAAAAAGAAAAAUUCAUAGAGUGUCCCCUACUUUUCAUAACAUGUGUUAUGUUAGAUGGAUAUCACUUUCAAUUUUUUUGGUAUAAUGUGCUUCAUUAGUUCUUUUCAAUUUCUCAUUGUGGCUUUUGUUUAGCGUAAUAUACAUGCUUAACCUGCCUUGAGUAGAAGAAAGAGUUGUACUAUAAAGUUCAGUGGUUUCAUUAAAUAUCAUUGAACUUUAAUAGAUCAUUGAUGAAACAUAGGAGGUGAUUUCAAUUGUUGUAGUAGGAAUGUUAAUCUUUGUGAUGAAAUUUAAUAAACACAACUGAAAGUUCUCAAGAGAAGUACAAUAAAAAACUUUCUUUUUCAUUGUUUCGGCCAACUACAUUUACUAUUGAUGUUGGAUAGCUUUUAUUAUUUACAAUUUGUAGUAUCAAGUUCAGAGCACCUUACUUGAAGUAGGAUUAUAGUGUUGAGUUUGGAGUACGUUUUUAUUGUAAUUUGAUUUUUUUUUAUCUUUUCAAGUACACAGAAAGUGUAUAUUGACACCUCCUUUUCUAUGAUGUUUUCUUAAAAUAGAUAAAGUAUUGUGUAUUAUAAUCGCAAAACUAAAACCUCAUAUUGUUCAACUGCCACAAUUGUUUCAUUUGGCCAAGUUUGAGAUCUACUGAUUUUAUAGCAACAAAUUUGUGAUAUGCAUACUGCAAG